Long non-coding RNA from Eupeodes corollae, 1038 nucleotides. RefSeq lists it as uncharacterized. The transcript has 4 exons. The record is from RefSeq and is a predicted model, not a curated record. Lineage: Eukaryota; Metazoa; Arthropoda; Insecta; Diptera; Syrphidae.
GGAGUGAAAAGGGAGAACCAAACAAAAUAAACUUAAAAACGAUUUUCAAUAUUAAAGGUUUUAUUGCAACUGACUAGCUUAAAAAUACUUUGUUUGCAAUAAAGGGUGUUUUUAUAAACGUGUGGUGUUGAAGAAAAAAUAAAACACAUAUAAUUUAAUGUUAUAGCCAGGAAUUUAGCUUUAUUAUAAAGUUGAGGAUUUGCUAUUCACCAAUAUUGUGGAACGUUAAGUCUUUGAAAACUCUUUUUUUUCACUCAAAAUUUGGCGGCGGAAAAGGACAACUUUGGCGGAAAAUGUAAGAAAUGUUUAUAAAUAACAACAAAAUAAUCGAUAAUAAUUCCUACUAAAAGAAGUAAAACAACAAAUAGAAGGCAAUGCGAGCUGCUUUUGAAUAAAGUGCAAUUACACCCCGAUAUCGCCAGAGGCUAUUCGAAGGAAAAUAAAGAUAUAUAAGAGUUUUGGAGUGCAGGGCCAGUCAAAAACUGAGUGGAAAAAGAAAAGACAUGUAAGGAAAAAAGCGACAGAAUAUAAAGCUAACCAAAGAGCAACCGGAGGUAGCCCUAAUAAAACAGUCAAGUACACAGAUGUGGAAGAUGCUAUAUUACAACUUAUAGGUGUUAACGAAGCUUUGAAAAGUUUUGGCUCACCCUUCGGCCUCCCCCUGAGAAAAAAAAUAAAAACUAACGUAGCCGAAGAGAAUGGAGGUGAUAUAAAUUAUGUUUUUAAAAUGAUUCAGGCGAGUGACUGCCGUCGCGUCUGUCUCAAAUAAAUUCUAGCCGAGAUGCCCAAUUUCUUACCGUUUUUUGCAGCAAUUCUAGUGGUUUUAAAUCACAAGAUUAAGUCGGCCGCGUUGAAAUAAGCUGUUCUCCAAAUAAAACAAAAAGGCUUUUAAUAUAAACUUCUAAUAUUUCAUUCAUAAUAACAGGAAAUAAGUACUUUGGAUUUUUAACAGCUACUUAUGUCACAAAAAACAAGCUAAACUGAAGUAUUGAAAAAAUUUACUUUAAAUGUUUUACUUUUAAAAUCAUCACUUACGAA